Molecule: transfer RNA, 74 nt
Filed under: Glutamicibacter uratoxydans
Lineage: Bacteria; Bacillati; Actinomycetota; Actinomycetes; Micrococcales; Micrococcaceae
Also listed under: 1 other name
Description: tRNA-Lys
Rfam family: tRNA
About the family: Transfer RNA (tRNA) molecules are approximately 80 nucleotides in length. Their secondary structure includes four short double-helical elements and three loops (D, anti-codon, and T loops). Further hydrogen bonds mediate the characteristic L-shaped molecular structure. tRNAs have two regions of fundamental functional importance: the anti-codon, which is responsible for specific mRNA codon recognition, and the 3' end, to which the tRNAs corresponding amino acid is attached (by aminoacyl-tRNA synthetases). tRNAs cope with the degeneracy of the genetic code in two manners: having more than one tRNA (with a specific anti-codon) for a particular amino acid; and 'wobble' base-pairing, i.e. permitting non-standard base-pairing at the 3rd anti-codon position.
Source: RNAcentral
GCGCCUUUAGCUCAGAUGGUAGAGCAUCGGACUUUUAAUCCGCUGGUCGCGGGUUCGAUCCCCGCAGGGCGCAC